RNAcentral lists this long non-coding RNA (1236 nucleotides) under Capra hircus (goat). Its description in RNAcentral is "lncRNA (ENSCHIG00010002144.1)". Lineage: Eukaryota; Metazoa; Chordata; Mammalia; Artiodactyla; Bovidae. The record is from RNAcentral.
GUGAUUACUGACUGUGAUCUUCAGCUUCUCGAAACUUUGUCUUCAGAAACUUGGGAUCUGAGUUUUAAGUCUGUGAUUCCAUUGAGGGUUUGUAUUUGCCAAGCUCGUCUGAGCACUGUCAACGUGAAAGGCCUGUUAUGUCUGAUGUGUUUGUGUGCUUUUUCAUUGUAAUUACACAGGUGACAUGAAUUCUAUCCUCAGACCUGGUUAGUAGGCAAUUCAAGGUAGGAAUUCUUAGAGGAAACUGCCUUCUUUCUCUUCUCACUCUACAUAGAAACAAGGCAGAGACAGAUAAUUCUUCUGUAGGCAGAUUGUAUUCUAGUUCACCAACCAAAUGAUCUUGUGAAUUGAAACUUUGUAUAGGAAUUCUAGUUCAAUCCUCCAUCCUGCUCAGGCAUCAAGCUAUGUCACCUAUACAGCAUGUAUGCUCACAGUGCCCGGAAACCCAGGCUCUAGGAUGCCAGAGUUCAAGCUCUAAGUUAAUAUAUGCAUGGCCAGGUGUGGUCUGCAUGAAGAUGUCUUAGACCACAUCUCUCUAGAAUCACAUGCCCUCAGGAAAACUAUCAGCUCUAAUUCUGACUUACCUUGUAGACAGUGUGUUCUUAUUUAUAGUCUUUGCUUAUUCUCCUUACCUCACUGACAGCCCAACCUUGUUUUACAAAUACAUGUUGAAGUAAUUUAUCCAGCAUUUUUAUCUGUUCUAUACCUAGAGGGGUUUAUCUGCUCACCAACUAUCAUAUUGCUGGAGAUGAAAUCUAUUCCUUUAUAAUCUAAAUUUUACAACACAUUUCUGAACCAUCCAUCAGUCUGGCCUUGUGGUUAAUCUGAAUUGAGCUGGCUCUUUCCCCACUUGCAAGAAAAAAAAAAAAGCUGUGAAGUGCUUCUGAGGAGCACAAAUAUUUUUCAGACCACUUAAGGGGGCCACAGAAAGCUGGUCUCAUGCCUGUCCACCCCUCUCCUCCAGCUGGAUGGUACUCGGCCUAAUGCCAUUGCAUCUGCACACCACGGCUGCUCCUCACCCUACCAUCCCAGCCCCCUCCCCAUGGCAGACUUCUACUCAGCGUGGGUAUACACUAGUAUUUUUAAACACCAAUAAAGUUAAACAACUGCAAUAUCCUCAAAGAUUAAUUAUCACUCACUUUUAAAAAGUCAAUUUUCUUUAAACUAAGGAUGUAAAUGAGAAAACAAAUGAAAAAUAGAUUUCCAGAAGAACCACAUUUCCUGUUAUUCAGCAGA